Molecule: transfer RNA, 50 nt
Filed under: Pholcus phalangioides (longbodied cellar spider)
Lineage: Eukaryota; Metazoa; Arthropoda; Arachnida; Araneae; Pholcidae
Also listed under: 1 other name
Description: tRNA-Lys
Source: RNAcentral
AGUAAGGUGGCCGAGGUAGGUAUUAAUUUCUUAAAUUAAUUAGGAGGGGG